CCUACGGGAGGCAGCAGUGGGGAAUCUUGCGCAAUGGGCGAAAGCCUGACGCAGCGACGCCGCGUGAGGGAUGAAGCUUCUCGGAGUGUAAACCCCUUUCGACCGGGACGAAUGCCCGCAAGGGAGUGACGGUACCGGUAGAAGAAGCCCCGGCUAACUACGUGCCAGCAGCCGCGGUAAGACGUAGGGGGCCAGCGUUGUUCGGAAUUACUGGGUGUAAAGGGUUCGUAGGCGGUGUGGCAAGUCGGGAGUGAAAUUUCUGGGCUUAACUCAGAAGCUGCUUCCGAAACUGCUGUGCUAGAGUGCGGGAGAGGCGCGUGGAAUUGCAGGUGUAGCGGUGAAAUGCGUAGAUAUCUGCAGGAACACCCGUGGCGAAAGCGGCGCGCUGGACCGUUACUGACGCUGAGGAACGAAAGCUAGGGGAGCAAACAGGAUUAGAUACCCUGGUAGUCCUAGCCCUAAACGAUCAGGACUUGGGGUGCCUUCCGUUCGGAAGUCGUCCCGGAGCUAACGCGUUAAGUCCUGCACCUGGGGAGUACGGUCGCAAGACUGAAACUCAAAGGAAUUGACGG
RNAcentral lists this ribosomal RNA (572 nucleotides) under uncultured bacterium. Its description in RNAcentral is "bacterial SSU rRNA". It matches the Rfam family "Bacterial small subunit ribosomal RNA", at positions 338 to 916 of the family's 1533-position model. The record is from RNAcentral.